Long non-coding RNA from Taeniopygia guttata (zebra finch), 4626 nucleotides. Lineage: Eukaryota; Metazoa; Chordata; Aves; Passeriformes; Estrildidae. The record is from Ensembl.
AGCAGAGCAGGCAGGCGCCAGAACCACCCCUCAGCCUUCAACAGAGCCAUGGGCAGCGUGAAAUCUGUCCUGAGGGACACAGAAAAAGGCAAAAAAAAAAUAGAGCGCUCAAAGUAUCAAUGGCAAGGAAAACGACUCUUUCAAGCAAAUCUUUAAUAGUUUAUUUUCUGGAUGAAAGAAGAUCCAAGACUGAUGCCAGGUGAAAUACCUGCCAACAGUGUUGUCUUUAAAGCCUUGAGAGCCUGAGAGGAAACUCAAAACCUGCUGCUGAUUGUAAUAAGUCCAGUAAACAAUUUCAUCCCUGAAGAAACACUUGCCAUGUGUGUUGCACAGAAGGCUCUGCACUGAGAGUCUGGUAAGGAAUGAGUUCCCUGGCUGGUGGUGGGCUGGCAGGGAAGCUGUGCUCCUGUGGUUGGUUGCCUGGGUAGCUCUAGAGGUGCCAGGCAGCUGUGUGAAGGUGUCUGAAGAAAGUGGAGCCCAGAGCACACUGCAGCUGUCUGGUGUUCCUGCCAGCAGUGACAUCCUCCAUGGUCUGUGUGUCUGUGUAAUGGACCACAGAAAGUGUACUGCACAAAAGUGUCUGAGGUGAGAAAGAAACCAGUAUCUGCCCUGGGAGAAAUCAGGGGACUGAAUUUCCUCUCCUUAUUCCCAAGAACAGAGAAAUUCUUUCCCAGCAACUCUGAUCUGAGUUUUGUGGGUCAUUUUGGACCCACCCAGGCCAUUAACAUCCAUGCCACUGUCCCUGGGAGCCGAGGUCUGGGUCAUGAAUGUGUGUAUGGGGCAGGAGGAGCAGCACUGAGCACAGCACACAAGCACACACACCAUCUCAUGCCUCCCCCAUGGCCCCUGCAUGUCUGGAGAGGAGGAAAUCCUGCCAGAGCUCACCGGAUGCAGAGGGGAAUGACCCAGGCCUCCAGCAGACAUGACCUGUUCCCAUCCCACCGAGGCCCAGGGCUCUGCCAUGCACAUGAUGCCAGUGGAAGAGCAGGGGCACUCAUGUGUGUGGGUAUGUAGGAUCAAGUUCUGAGAGCAUUUGCUCGGGGGGAGGAACCUGAGCCAUGCUGCUACUUUUCUGAGUCCUCCAAAAAGUUCUCCAGGUAAAGCAGGAAGGCAGGAUGUGACAGUUCCAAUGUCAGACUGCAGCAGGAGGAGGCAGCAGCUUUCAAAAAUAACCUUUGCAAGGUCAUCCCUGAGCAAGGCGGAGCACCAGUGGUGGGCUUGAGCACUUUUCUGCAAUUCAGCUCAAAAAGACUGGAACUUGCCUUUUCUUUAUGGGAAAGAAAGCAUGUGAUGACAGGUCCCAAGAGCUUUUAUUUUGAAGCCAAAUGCUUAGAGUGCAUGAAGACAGCAAAAGCAUUUUCCUUCAGGCGAUACAAAUCAAAUAAAUGGAGACAGUGCACUGCAAUUCAGUGCAGGCAGCAGCCAGCACAGGCUGCACUCACAGCUCAGCAUCGGGGGGCAUCGCUGACAGAAGGUGCCCAGGACUGGCACUGACAGUGGUCCCUCUGCCCCAGACAUCUCCUCCCCACGGGGAGCCGUGUCUCUGCCCUGGUGUGACUUUGCUGGAGCUUUUGCAGUGGGGUUUUUCUGCCUUCCUGUUAAAGCUGGGUGUGUGAAGCUGUCUGUAGAGUUUAGCUGAACUGUACAGAAGCAGCUUCAGGAGAAGCUGUCUGGUUUAAUAGACUCUCUGUUCAAUGUUGCAGAGCUGAGUGGUGUUCCAAUGGGAAUAAAUGUAUUUUUUUAUUGUCCCUAUGCAAGAGGGAUUACCAUUAGGAUGGGUAGCUGCCCCAUUCUUCCCACUCCCAUUUGCUGUGAUAAAAUAGUCCAGGCUGCCCUGUACAAGAAAGUACCUGCCAGGAAGGGACCUGUCCUCGUGGGCUGGGUUUUGCAGGGUACUCUGAGCACUGUGAAGAUGAAGAGCAAAGCCCAGAAGAUGAUGCUGGGACUCUGCAGAACUGCCCCAGGCAGGCACGUAUGCGUGCCCCUGGGUGGAGGUGGGCUGGAGAGGGACAGCUGCCUGGUGAGACCCAGGGAACUGCUAAGGGACCAGCAAGCAGCACUGAGACCAUGUGCACCAGUGCUUGUGGUGGGGAGAGGCUGUGUGCUGGCCCCAUCCUGGCAGAGGAGCCAUGCAGACAGGUUUUUGGGAGCGUGUGACUGUGCCUUGGGAGUAAGUGAAUGCUGGAUGCAGUUAGCUCACCUUUGCUGCAUUAACGUCUGCUAAACAAAUGAUUCUGUGUGAAAAUUGAAUGGCAAGCAGCACUAAAGGAAGAAAUGAGCCAGUGGAUUUUAUAGCAGCUCUAGAACCCUUAUCCUCUCAUUAAUGGGUUUUACAGCCAUCAAAAGCAAGCCAUGUUCCUGAAAAUAAAACAUUUUCUUCACAAACAGCCCUUUAGGUGUUGAAGGCUACUCAAGAGCUGGGGCUUGUUUCUAAUUAAAAUAAUAAUUCCCUUCACUUACGUGGUUUGUGGCUUGACUACCUGCCACAGCUGCAAGCUGGAGCAGUUCAGUGGAGACCAGCAGGUCUUUUUUAAUCCUCCUGGAUGAGGGGGACUGGAGCCCCACCCUCACACUGGUUUGGAGUACUUACCCCAAUCUAUCCCCAUUGAGCAGAAGGUGCUGUGCAGCACAGAUGCUCAGUCUUGCUUUCCCUGUCACUCUGGCGAGGAGUUAGUGCUUUGUUUAUCCACAUCACAAACAGUGCAGGGAAAAAGCUUUUAGUUAAAACCCCUGGAAACAAGUCAGAUGAAGCAAAGCUCCAUGGCAUUGGCAUAACACCAGUGAGAAAUCCAUUUAAUCUCACUGUGAUGAGUUUGCUGCAUCUUCCUGUUUGAUUUAUAGGGUGAAUGCAAUGUAGGCUUUGAAACAACCAGCAGCUCUGAUAUCCAUUUUGGCCAACUUCUGGAACUUUUUUCCAGGGGCUGUAAAGCAGCUGCCCACAUCUCCUGGUCCAGCUGCCUUUGAUGGAAGGGUUUGUCUCCUGCUUGCCCUUGCUCUGCUCACACAGGGCUGUGACUCUGCCACACUGCCUGGCACUGCCUGGCGGGGUAAUGGCAGAGGGCAGCAUGCUCUGGGGUGGCCCCUGCCCAAGCUGGCUUACAAGCCCAUCUCAGUGCCUUGGGACUGAGAGCAACAGGUUUGUUUGCUUCCUUAAUGUGUCUCCUUUCACACUGGGUUGGACUGUGUCCAGGCAGGCGUUUAUCUCCCAUCCCACUGGAAGCUGUGCAGGCUCAUGUCAGCUGCUGUCUGAGGAACUGCUCUCCAUUUCAAAAGAAACCAAGACAACUUUGUUCCCAAGCCUCUAUUAAUCAUCUUUUCCAACUUCUUGUCUUCUAGCAGCAGGCUCUGCUUGGCUGUUUGAGCUGGAGGAUAUGGGAACAUUGGCUGCCUUAUCCUUGGUGUAGCCCAUCUCUUUAAGUUCCCUCCUCCUGACCCUGGUCCCCUGCAGGAAGCCAUGGCAGGCAGGACGCACCAGCCUGGGCAGUUUGCUGCUGGUCAGAGUAGGCACCAUCUAUUUGCCCUGCUUGGAAUAAUGCUCCAGGCUGGGAGGUUUCCCACGUACGUGACCUUGCCAAAUGAACCAUGGCUGCAUGAGGACCUGGGGUCUCUCCAAAUCAUUCCCAAUAUGAAUUUAAAGGCUACAGCCAACCCCAAAUCUAUGCCUGGCUAUCUGCCACAGCUGCCAUGCCCCACCGUGGGUGUGAUCUGUUCCCACAUGGGGAUUGGGAAAGUCCUUUAAACAAGCAGAAGUGACCUUGUUAAGCAGGUCUGGCCUCCACACCUGCCAGUGCUCACUGCAAGAGCUCAGGUGGCACCUCUGCCAGGUCAUUGCAGAGGCAUUUGUGCCUCCAGACUUGGAAAAGCCCCUGGUCCUCCCCAUGGAGCUGAUGCUGUGAGGCUGAUGGAGCUGUCAGGAGCCGAUGUUAAUCACUGAAGGCACUUGUGGCUCACUUGUCUCUCAGGCAGAUGGGACCUGCUCAGCUGCCCCAAGCCUGGCUGCAGCUGCCAUGUCCCAUCCUGCAGCAACACCUGCCAACCUCUGAUCUCUUUGAGCAACAGCCUCUGCACAGCCCUGUGCUCCUUCCCUCACGUCCAGGCUGUGGCACCAGGGGUGUUGGUCUCGCUGCCGUGGGUCCUGGCAGUGCUGCAGUGCCGAUGGCACCCACGGGCACCACUGUGAGCCAAGCAGGCACCUACAGAAAACACCUGAAUCCCCAGGGCUGUGAGCAGUCCUGAGGGUAAAUUAAAUUAUCCUUUCCAGAAGCUGUGGUCUUGGCAGACUGAACUGAGAGGAAAGGCAGCCUUCAGAAGGGCCCAGCCAUGGACAUGAAGGGUUAAAUCAUGGUUGACAUCCAUCCUGCUGUGAUUUGUCAGCAUGGACACGUGUAGUCUGUGGAGAAAAACAGGCAGAGUAAUUUCCUGAUUUAAAUGAAUUUCAGAGACCACCACAGGAAGGAACUUGGGAUGUGUCCAAAGGGUAACCAGGCCAUGGAAAAAUACCAGGCAGGGGAAGGGGCCAGGGGAAUCAGAACUUGGAUUUUCCCCUUUGUCACUACAGAGGUGAUAGCCACCAUUGCAUUUUCCAGAUAUGAGUCCAGUUUAAGAAAUUUAAGAUACUUUAAAUGU